CUUAGGGUAUAGCUCAAUGGCAGAGUGCUUACCUAAUACGUGGGAGGCCCAAGGUUCCAUCCCUAGCACUAAAA
Molecule: transfer RNA, 74 nt
Filed under: Marmota monax (woodchuck)
Lineage: Eukaryota; Metazoa; Chordata; Mammalia; Rodentia; Sciuridae
Description: tRNA.Ile
Source: RNAcentral